Molecule: non-coding RNA, 917 nt
Organism: Pantherophis guttatus
Lineage: Eukaryota; Metazoa; Chordata; Lepidosauria; Squamata; Colubridae
Source: RefSeq, a predicted model, not a curated record
UUCCUCCCCCCCUCGCUCCCAUCAUCCCUUCCUCAGCAAAUAAAUACAGUCCAAAACGAGGCACAAAUCUGGACCACCGAUUUCUCUUUGCGGAUUUGUUAAGCAAAUCCCUUCAGCUGUUCAGGGAAUUAUGCGGAGAUUAAACAAAACUGGUUAUCUUCUUUGACACCCUGCCAAAGGCCUUACUUGGCAAAGCCCCACGAAGUUCAGAAACAAACAAGAGAUGCCGACUGGAAACAAGAGUUAGCAACGUUGCUUUCCUGCAGAGAGCCCACGUGCCUUUGCUCCUCUUUUAAGCCUUAUGGGAGGGGCCAAUCAUCUCCAGGCCUUACUCCCGAGUUGUCCCUUUUGCUUUAGCUGCUCUUGCCUUCUGGCAGCUGUGCGCAUGCUGCUGAAAGGAUCGUGCUUGUGGAGCUGUGCUUUCUGUAGGAUGUUUUCUGCCGUCCCUUCCCUGUGGAACAUAGUCCUUUCAGAAGUUCCAAGAAGGCUCCACACUCAUCUGCACUACUCAGAUGACCCGGAGAACACAGACAAACCAAGAAGUUUCCUAUCAAUGAGAAUAACGAAUCAGUGGAACACCUUCAGAAGAAGGAUUCAUUGGGCUUUCAGUACACCACAGCAAGAACGGUUGGACUUCAAAUGCUACAGGGGAUUAUGGGAAUUUAAAUUCCUCACACCAGGAAGGCAACGAAUGGCGCAUUUGGCUGGGAGCUUAUCUCAAGCUGAGAGCAUCUGACUGUUUCCUUAAUGAGAAUCUGAUGUGGAAAGAACAUCAAGGAAUCUUAGCUGGCUUUCACAAGCACCACGUUUAAACACAACGGAAGAGGAGGAAUAUAAUAAUGCAAUGACCACAUUUCCACAGGAGGAAUGCAAUCUGGUCUGGAUGUUAUCGACGGAACACCGGAAGAUCCCAAGGA